This 397-nucleotide ribosomal RNA is filed under the name Kraussillichirus kraussi. RNAcentral describes it as "partial 16S ribosomal RNA". It matches the Rfam family "Bacterial large subunit ribosomal RNA", at positions 2048 to 2620 of the family's 2925-position model. The record is from RNAcentral. Lineage: Eukaryota; Metazoa; Arthropoda; Malacostraca; Decapoda; Callichiridae.
AUCUGUCUCAACUUUAAAUAUUGAAUUUAACUUCUAAGUGAAAAGGCUUAAAUAAUCUUGAAGGACGAUAAGACCCUAUAAAACUUUAUAUUUAAUAUAAUAAGCCUUUAUUUAUUUAUUUAAGACUGUUUAUUUUAUCGAAUAUUUCGUUGGGGCGACGAAAGUAUAAACUCAACUGCUUUUUUUUUCAACACAAAUAUAUUUGAAAAAACUGACCCUUUAAAAGAUCAAAAGAAAAAGUUACUUUAGGGAUAACAGCGUUAUUUUUUUUAAGAGUCCAUAUCGACAAAAAAGUUUGCGACCUCGAUGUUGAAUUAAAUUUCCCUCAUAAUGCAGAAGUUAUAGAGGUAGGUCUGUUCGACCUUUAAAAAUUUACGUGAUCUGAGUUCACACCGGA